This 510-nucleotide ribosomal RNA is filed under the name uncultured bacterium. Its description in RNAcentral is "bacterial SSU rRNA". It matches the Rfam family "Bacterial small subunit ribosomal RNA", at positions 29 to 537 of the family's 1533-position model. The record is from RNAcentral.
AUUGAACGCUGGCGGCGUGCUUAACACAUGCAAGUCGAGCGGUAACGCGGGGGCAACCCUGGCGACGAGCGGCGAACGGGUGCGUAAUGCAUGGGAAUCUGCCUGAUAGUGGGGAAUAACCCGGGGAAACUCGGGCUAAUGCCGCAUACGACCUACGGGUGAAAGCGGGGGACCGUAAGGCCUCGCGCUAUCGGAUGAGCCCAUGUCGGAUUAGCUAGUUGGUAGGGUAACGGCCUACCAAGGCUACGAUCCGUAGCUGGUCUGAGAGGACGGCCAGCCACACUGGGACUGAGACACGGCCCAGACUCCUACGGGAGGCAGCAGUGGGGAAUAUUGGACAAUGGGGGAAACCCUGAUCCAGCGACGCCGCGUGUGUGAAGAAGGCCUGCGGGUUGUAAAGCACUUUCGGUGGGAACGAAAGGUUGCGUGUUAAUAGCACGUAGCUGUGACGUUACCUUUAGAAGAAGCACCGGCUAACUCCGUGCCAGCAGCCGCGGUAAAGUCUAGCCA